RNAcentral lists this ribosomal RNA (251 nucleotides) under uncultured prokaryote. Its description in RNAcentral is "partial 16S ribosomal RNA". It matches the Rfam family "Bacterial small subunit ribosomal RNA", at positions 525 to 775 of the family's 1533-position model. The record is from RNAcentral.
ACGUCUUUUUCCCGCUUUUUCCUGAUUCACUGGGUGUAAAGGGCGCGCAGGCGGGUUAACAAGUCAGAGGUGAAAUCCUACAGCUUAACUGUAGAACUGCCUUUGAAACUGUUAAUCUUGAGUGCGGAAGAGAGAGACGGAAUUCCAGGUGUAGCGGUGAAAUGCGUAGAUAUCUGGAAGAACACCAGUUGCGAAGGCGGUCUCUUGGUCCGUUACUGACGCUCAGGCGCGAAAGCGUGGGGAGCAAACAG